UCUAUGCACACUGGAACACCAGAUUGCCAACCCCUGGGAACAGAAUGCAACCAGGGAUCUAGAGAGCUGUCACAUCCUGAGAAAUAUUUAAAUUGCGCUGAUUUUCUUCUGGAGUGCUGAGCAGAGGGAAUGAAACUCUCCAUCAAGUCAUAGCUUUGCGGGCAAUAGAUCAGAGGAUACUGCCAGUUUUUCUAAUGGAUUAUUGUUAUCGGGCAGGUUCUUCCUGAAGGCUUUAUUCAGUGAAGUGGCUGUAGCAUGCGUUUCAUGGUGCAGCCUUGACACAGUAAUCCAGCCCUUCUGACAACUGUUAGAUUCACUGAGGUUAAAGGGGAUUUGCAUUGUGAUUUUUCUAAUCAGACCCCAACCUGUGCUUUGAUUUGGUAACACUGUUGCUGGAC
Dromaius novaehollandiae (emu) is the source of this 398-nucleotide long non-coding RNA. RefSeq lists it as uncharacterized. The transcript has 3 exons. NCBI's taxonomy places the organism in Eukaryota, Metazoa, Chordata, Aves, Casuariiformes, Dromaiidae. The record is from RefSeq and is a predicted model, not a curated record.